RNAcentral lists this ribosomal RNA (493 nucleotides) under uncultured bacterium. RNAcentral describes it as "partial 16S ribosomal RNA". It matches the Rfam family "Bacterial small subunit ribosomal RNA", at positions 30 to 523 of the family's 1533-position model. The record is from RNAcentral.
AUUGAACGCUGGCGGCAUGCUUUACACAUGCAAGUCGAACGGUAACAGGUUAAGCUGACGAGUGGCGAACGGGUGAGUAAUACAUCGGAACGUGCCCGAGAGUGGGGGAUAACGAAGCGAAAGCUUUGCUAAUACCGCAUACGAUCUCAGGAUGAAAGCAGGGGACCGCAAGGCCUUGCGCUCACGGAGCGGCCGAUGGCAGAUUAGGUAGUUGGUGGGAUAAAAGCUUACCAAGCCGACGAUCUGUAGCUGGUCUGAGAGGACGACCAGCCACACUAGGACGGAGACACGGCCCAGACUCCUACGGGAGGCAGCAGUGGGGAAUUUUGGACAAUGGGCGCAAGCCUGAUCCAGCCAUGCCGCGUGCAGGAUGAAGGCCUUCGGGUUGUAAACUGCUUUUGUACGGAACGAAAAGACUCUGGUUAAUACCUGGGGUCCAUGACGGUACCGUAAGAAUAAGCACCGGCUAACUACGUGCCAGCCGCCGCCGUAA